RNAcentral lists this ribosomal RNA (675 nucleotides) under uncultured bacterium. Its description in RNAcentral is "bacterial SSU rRNA". It matches the Rfam family "Bacterial small subunit ribosomal RNA", at positions 8 to 680 of the family's 1533-position model. The record is from RNAcentral.
AGAGUUUGAUCCUGGCUCAGAUUGAACGCUGGCGGCAUGCCUUACACAUGCAAGUCGAACGGUAACAGGUCUUCGGAUGCUGACGAGUGGCGAACGGGUGAGUAAUACAUCGGAACGUGCCCGAUCGUGGGGGAUAACGAGGCGAAAGCUUUGCUAAUACCGCAUACGAUCUACGGAUGAAAGCGGGGGAUCUUCGGACCUCGCGCGGACGGAGCGGCCGAUGGCAGAUUAGGUAGUUGGUGGGAUAAAAGCUUACCAAGCCGACGAUCUGUAGCUGGUCUGAGAGGAUGAUCAGCCACACUGGGACUGAGACACGGCCCAGACUCCUACGGGAGGCAGCAGUGGGGAAUUUUGGACAAUGGGCGAAAGCCUGAUCCAGCCAUGCCGCGUGCAGGAUGAAGGCCUUCGGGUUGUAAACUGCUUUUGUACGGAACGAAAAGCCUCUUUCUAAUAAAGAGGGGUCAUGACGGUACCGUAAGAAUAAGCACCGGCUAACUACGUGCCAGCAGCCGCGGUAAUACGUAGGGUGCAAGCGUUAAUCGGAAUUACUGGGCGUAAAGCGUGCGCAGGCGGUUUUGUAAGACAGAGGUGAAAUCCCCGGGCUCAACCUGGGAACUGCCUUUGUGACUGCAAGGCUGGAGUGCGGCAGAGGGGGAUGGAAUUCCGCGUGUAGCA